RNAcentral lists this long non-coding RNA (1176 nucleotides) under Gallus gallus (chicken). RNAcentral describes it as "lncRNA (ENSGALG00010007242.1)". Lineage: Eukaryota; Metazoa; Chordata; Aves; Galliformes; Phasianidae. The record is from RNAcentral.
GUGAGCUGGAGGAUCCGGCCAAGUGCAGAAGCAUCCCAAGCAGGUGUGAUAUCUAUGAAAGCACUGGCAGUGAAGGGGUCUGCAGGGCUUUGCUUCGUGGCAGAGGUGGACCAGAUGCAAUGAGCUCAGCUCCUCCCUGUCCUUUCCUUCUCAACGGGAACGCUUGGGAGGAAAGGGAGCACACCAGGGCCCGUGCCAGCACAGCAGGCUGUGUCAGCACCAGGGCUGAGCCAGGGCAGAGACACCCAGCCCUGGCCCAUGUUUGGGCACCGCUUGCUUGCAUUUGAACCCUUCUGCAGAGGAAAACAGCCGCAUGCCUGGAGCGUGGGCUGCAGAGCUCCUGCAGAAGGGCUGUGCUGCCCUGUAAUAUGGCACUCAGCCUUGAUCCACCCUUCAGCGUGGCUGCCUGGGUCCACCUGGUUCCAAACGCAUCUUUCCCUCCCAGCGCAGCACCCAGCACUGCGCUGGGCUGUCAGCCUCUGUUGUUCUCUCCCUGCUGGUGAGUCAGUAUUUGGCCAAAGGUGAGACUGCAGGAGGUGGCAUUGCCUGAGAUAAGCUGGCAGAAUGGCCAGCUCUGAUUUUUUUCCUUCACGAUAUAGGCUGUAUAUUUUUAUCCCAAGAAUGGAAAUCAGAAAAAAGAAAAAAAAAAAAAAAAAAAAAGGAAUGGGAAUAACCCCCUCUGCUUUGAAGGCAUCAAAUCCAUCGCUGCUUCAUUGAGGGUUUGGUAAUAUUCAACCCACGGCCCUUAGUGAGACAGUAUAACUGUGGAUAGAAAGAGGGCUGACUGCCCUGGGGCAGCGAGAGGGGCUGUGCACCGGGCUGGCUUGGAAGGAAAGUGGUGAGGAUGAGGAUGAGGAGGAGGAGGAGGAGGAGGAAGGCUGGCAGCUGCAAGCAGGAGGGACGGAGAGGAAGCAGAGGCCGGAGCUGUUUGCCAUGGUGGAGAAGCCAGAGAGGCAUUUGCUGAGGAAGCGAAGAGAAAGAUCAGAUUCUACCACCCCUUGAUUUCACCUCAAUUUGGGAAUCCUUUGAAUGCUGAGGUCUCUGGUGUCUGGGUGCUGCCUGUCUUCCACGUGAGACGUAAUGAAGGCACGACUGGGAUCUUGUGAACCCUGAGCCCUUUCUCAAGGUACAGACACUUGGACCAUGCUCCCAGCUCACAGUGUUUGAGCUUUAGAG